UGGGGAAUAUCGCGCAAUGGGCGAAAGCCUGACGCAGCGACGCCGCGUGAGGGAUGAAGGCCUUCGGGUUGUAAACCUCUUUCAGCACCGACGAAGCGGAAGUGACGGUAGGUGCAGAAGAAGCGCCGGCUAACUACGUGCCAGCAGCCGCGGUAAUACGUAGGGCGCAAGCGUUGUCCGGAAUUAUUGGGCGUAAAGAGCUCGUAGGCGGUUUGUCGCGUCUGUCGUGAAAGCUUGGGGCUUAACCCAAGUCUGCGGUGGAUACGGGCAGACUAGAGGCAGGUAGGGGAGAACGGAAUUCCCGGUGUAGCGGUGAAAUGCGCAGAUAUCGGGAGGAACACCGGUGGCGAAGGCGGUUCUCUGGGCCUGUACUGACGCUGAGGAGCGAAAGCGUGGGGAGCGAACAG
RNAcentral lists this ribosomal RNA (407 nucleotides) under uncultured bacterium. RNAcentral describes it as "bacterial SSU rRNA". It matches the Rfam family "Bacterial small subunit ribosomal RNA", at positions 355 to 775 of the family's 1533-position model. The record is from RNAcentral.